RNAcentral lists this ribosomal RNA (468 nucleotides) under uncultured bacterium. RNAcentral describes it as "partial 16S ribosomal RNA". It matches the Rfam family "Bacterial small subunit ribosomal RNA", at positions 28 to 507 of the family's 1533-position model. The record is from RNAcentral.
GGCGAACGCUGGCGGCGUGCUUAACACAUGCAAGUCGAACGGAAAGGCCCUGCUUUUGUGGGGUGCUCGAGUGGCGAACGGGUGAGUAACACGUGAGUAACCUGCCCUUGACUUUGGGAUAACUUCAGGAAACUGGGGCUAAUACCGGAUAGGAGCUCCUGCUGCAUGUUGGGGGUUGGAAAGUUUCGGCGGUUGGGGAUGGACUCGCGGCUUAUCAGCUUGUUGGUGGGGUAGUGGCUUACCAAGGCUUUGACGGGUAGCCGGCCUGAGAGGGUGACCGGCCACAUUGGGACUGAGAUACGGCCCAGACUCCUAAGGGAGGCAGCAGUGGGGAAUAUUGCACAAUGGGCGGAAGCCUGAUGCAGCAACGCCGCGUGCGGGAUGACGGCCUUCGGGUUGUAAACCGCUUUCGCCUGUGACGAAGCGUGAGUGACGGUAAUGGGUAAAGAAGCACAGGGUAAUUACGUG